AUUUUCAGAGAUUAUAGAUUAUGUCUUUCUGAGGUCGGAGCCAUCGUAGUCGAGGAGAGAGCUCUCAUGCCGCCAGCUUGCAUGCUUCUGCGCCACACGUACCAUGCAGUAAACUCUACUACUUUAGAUAUUUUUCUUUAUGUUAUUUUAUCCUCUAUUAUCUAAUAUAACAUUCUUUAUGUUAUCUUGAUACUCUUAGGUUUGGAUGACGUGGGGUCACUAAUGAUCCCACAGUCACAUGGAGCAGUAUUCGGCUCUAAGAGUCAGUGGCAUGGUAGAGGAUCCAUCCGGCUCGCAACACCUCCAACUC
RNAcentral lists this long non-coding RNA (310 nucleotides) under Elaeis guineensis (African oil palm). Its description in RNAcentral is "long non-coding RNA (EGUI_LNC030307)". The record is from RNAcentral. Lineage: Eukaryota; Viridiplantae; Streptophyta; Magnoliopsida; Arecales; Arecaceae.